UAGAGUUUGAUCCUGGCUCAGGACGAACGCUGGCGGCGUGCCUAACACAUGCAAGUCGAGCGGGAGACUUCGGUCUCUAGCGGCGGACGGGUGAGUAACACGUGGGUAACCUGCCUUAGUGAGGGGGAUAGCCUCCCGAAAGGGAGAUUAAUACCGCAUAACAUUGCGAUAUCGCAUGAUAUUGUAAUUAAAGGAGUAAUCCGCACUAAGAUGGACCCGCGGCGCAUUAGCUAGUUGGUGAGGUAACGGCUCACCAAGGCGACGAUGCGUAGCCGGCCUGAGAGGGUGAACGGCCACAUUGGAACUGAGACACGGUCCAGACUCCUACGGGAGGCAGCAGUGGGGAAUAUUGCACAAUGGGCGAAAGCCUGAUGCAGCAACGCCGCGUGAGUGAUGAAGGCCUUCGGGUUGUAAAGCUCUGUCUUCUGGGACGAUAAUGACGGUACCAGAGGAGGAAGCCACGGCUAACUACGUGCCAGCAGCCGCGGUAAUACGUAGGUGGCAAGCGUUGUCCGGAUUUACUGGGCGUAAAGGAUGCGUAGGCGGAUACUUAAGUCAGAUGUGAAAAUCCCGGGCUUAACUUGGGAACUGCAUUUGAAACUGGGUGUCUAGAGUGUAGGAGAGGAAAGUGGAAUUCCUAGUGUAGCGGUGAAAUGCGUAGAGAUUANGAAGAACACCAGUGGCGAAGGCGACUUUCUGGACUAUAACUGACGCNNAGAUACGAAAGCGUGGGGAGCAA
This 739-nucleotide ribosomal RNA is filed under the name bacterium enrichment culture clone 5-59. Its description in RNAcentral is "bacterial SSU rRNA". It matches the Rfam family "Bacterial small subunit ribosomal RNA", at positions 1 to 771 of the family's 1533-position model. The record is from RNAcentral.